This 69-nucleotide transfer RNA is filed under the name Nasonia longicornis. RNAcentral's name for it is "tRNA-Val". The record is from RNAcentral. Lineage: Eukaryota; Metazoa; Arthropoda; Insecta; Hymenoptera; Pteromalidae.
AAAAUUUUAGUUUAAAUUUAAAACUUUUUUUUUACAAAAAAAAAAUAAUUUUAUAUUAGUUAAAUUUUA